Molecule: ribosomal RNA, 501 nt
Filed under: uncultured organism
Description: bacterial SSU rRNA
Rfam family: Bacterial small subunit ribosomal RNA
Source: RNAcentral
AUUGAACGCUGGCGGCGUGCUUAACACAUGCAAGUCGUGCGAGAAAAUCUCCUUCGGGAGAUGAGUAGAGCGGCGCACGGGUGAGUAACGCGUGGAUUAUCUACCCUGGAGAUCGGGAUAACAGUUGGAAACGACUGCUAAUACCGGAUACGAUUCUAUCUUUACUGAUUGGGUGAAAGGUGGCCUCUACAUGUAAGCUACCACUCUGGGAUGAGUCCGCGUCUCAUUAGUUUGUUGGUGGGGUAACGGCCUACCAAGACUACGAUGAGUAGCUGGUCUGAGAGGAUGAUCAGCCACACUGGAACUGAAACACGGUCCAGACUCCUACGGGAGGCAGCAGUGGGGAAUAUUGCGCAAUGGGGGAAACCCUGACGCAGCGACGCCGCGUGCGGGAUGAAGGUCUUCGGAUCGUAAACCGCUGUCAGGAGGGAAGAAACGCAUGGGUUCAAAUAGGGCUCGUGCCUGACGGUACCUCCAGAGGAAGCACCGGCUAACUCCGUG